GCGGGGAUGGCGGAAUUGGUAGACGCACCAGACUUAGGAUCUGGCCCUUCACAGGUUGUGGGUUCAAGUCCCAUUUCCCGCACCA
Molecule: transfer RNA, 85 nt
Filed under: Deinococcus aquaticus
Lineage: Bacteria; Thermotogati; Deinococcota; Deinococci; Deinococcales; Deinococcaceae
Also listed under: 1 other name
Description: tRNA-Leu
Rfam family: tRNA
About the family: Transfer RNA (tRNA) molecules are approximately 80 nucleotides in length. Their secondary structure includes four short double-helical elements and three loops (D, anti-codon, and T loops). Further hydrogen bonds mediate the characteristic L-shaped molecular structure. tRNAs have two regions of fundamental functional importance: the anti-codon, which is responsible for specific mRNA codon recognition, and the 3' end, to which the tRNAs corresponding amino acid is attached (by aminoacyl-tRNA synthetases). tRNAs cope with the degeneracy of the genetic code in two manners: having more than one tRNA (with a specific anti-codon) for a particular amino acid; and 'wobble' base-pairing, i.e. permitting non-standard base-pairing at the 3rd anti-codon position.
Source: RNAcentral